UUCCUCUUAUCCAGAAGUGCUAAUGAUCAAGAACAUGGAUUGAUGCCAAGCAGAGCAUGGGUGAAGAUUUCAGCAACAUCCUGACCCUCCCGGAAGAUGAAAACACUAAAAUCCUUCAUGCAGAGUGCCCUGCUUACAUCUCGAUUCCUUUGACAUGCAGCCACUCUGGCUUCAGAUACUUACACAGAAUAAUCUAGUGACUUGUAUUAUGUGCUGUUGCUUGAAGUUUUCCUUCCUUGGUGAAAGUAGAUGCAUGCAUUUUACAACAGGAAUGAAGACGACACUGGGCCUGGGACUUUAAUGAUGGUCCAUCUUGCACCAAAGGACAUGCUAUUUUCUGAAUAAAAUAUGAAAUGAAGAAAGUCAUGGAUCAGAAAAGGAAGUUGUAGGGAAGCUGACCAUAUCAUCAAUUCCUUGGUUUCAAUGUAUGUUUUGUUUUUCUCACCUGAAUGCACAGCAUGAGUGGAUAUAGAGUGGGUGAGCUGAACUUACCACUUUGAUUAAAGAAUUUCCAGCUGUGAUUUCCAAAUGUGCAUCUGCCGUGUCAGGUCCACUGUUCCACUGGACAGAAUCCCAGGCCCCAGAGUGUCCUAAGCAUACAGCCAUGGAAUCAGCUCUAGCACUCCAUGGAGCAUCAUCAAAGCAUGAUGCAAACACUGUUUCCAGGUCAGAAUACCCAACCAUCAAGCCUAUACUCAGGGAAAGGACAAUGACAGUGACUUUACUUCAAUUUUUUCUGGGUUUUGUUUCCUUAAGAUGUUUUGAAUAAGAAUGAAUCAAUCUACAUCCAUGUAAGGUUCAUGAAUUUGGAAAUAACCAGCAUUUCUGAAGACACGAUGGGAGGAAGAAGUAGCCUUGAUGAUAUUCAGCCUGACAGACCACAGCAACUCUCAUGGCCAGGAAACA
Molecule: long non-coding RNA, 906 nt
Organism: Mastomys coucha (southern multimammate mouse)
Lineage: Eukaryota; Metazoa; Chordata; Mammalia; Rodentia; Muridae
Exons: 5
Source: RefSeq, a predicted model, not a curated record